GCGGAUAUGGUGUAGCGGUAGCAUCUGAGUCUUCCAAACUCUAGGCACGAGUUCGAUCCUCGUUGUCCGCU
RNAcentral lists this transfer RNA (71 nucleotides) under Aerosakkonema funiforme FACHB-1375. It matches the Rfam family "tRNA". From Rfam's summary of the family: Transfer RNA (tRNA) molecules are approximately 80 nucleotides in length. The record is from Rfam by way of RNAcentral. Lineage: Bacteria; Bacillati; Cyanobacteriota; Cyanophyceae; Aerosakkonematales; Aerosakkonemataceae.